This 496-nucleotide ribosomal RNA is filed under the name uncultured bacterium. Its description in RNAcentral is "partial 16S ribosomal RNA". It matches the Rfam family "Bacterial small subunit ribosomal RNA", at positions 29 to 507 of the family's 1533-position model. The record is from RNAcentral.
ACGAACGCUGGCGGCGUGCCUAAUACCUGCAAGUAGAACGCUGAAGAGAGGAGCUUGCUCUUCUUGGAUGAGUUGCGAACGGGUGAGUAACGCGUAGGUAACCUGCCUUGUAGCGGGGGAUAACUAUUGGAAACGAUAGCUAAUACCGCAUAACAAUGGAUGACACAUGUCAUUUAUUUGAAAGGGGCAAUUGCUCCACUACAAGAUGGACCUGCGUUGUAUUAGCUAGUAGGUGAGGUAAUGGCUCACCUAGGCGACGAUACAUAGCCGACCUGAGAGGGUGAUCGGCCACACUGGGACUGAGACACGGCCCAGACUCCUACGGGAGGCAGCAGUAGGGAAUCUUCGGCAAUGGGGGCAACCCUGACCGAGCAACGCCGCGUGAGUGAAGAAGGUUUUCGGAUCGUAAAGCUCUGUUGUAAGUCAAGAACGGGUGUGAGAGUGGAAAGUUCACACUGUGACGGUAGCUGACCAGAAAGGGACGGCUAACUACGUG